GACGAACGCUGGCGGCGUGCCUAAUACAUGCAAGUUGAGCGCUGAAGGUUGGUACUUGUACCAACUGGAUGAGCAACGAACGGGUGAGUAACGCGUGGGGAAUCUGCCUUUGAGCGGGGGACAACAUUUGGAAACGAAUGCUAAUACCGCAUAAAAACUUUAAACACAAGUUUUAAGUUUGAAAGAUGCAAUUGCAUCACUCAAAGAUGAUCCCGCGUUGUAUUAGCUAGUUGGUGAGGUAAAGGCUCACCAAGGCGAUGAUACAUAGCCGACCUGAGAGGGUGAUCGGCCACAUUGGGACUGAGACACGGCCCAAACUCCUACGGGAGGCAGCAGUAGGGAAUCUUCGGCAAUGGACGAAAGUCUGACCGAGCAACGCCGCGUGAGUGAAGAAGGUUUUCGGAUCGUAAAACUCUGUUGGUAGAGAAGAACGUUGGUGAGAGUGGAAAGCUCAUCAAGUGACGGUAACUACCCAGAAAGGGACGGCUAACUACGUG
Molecule: ribosomal RNA, 497 nt
Filed under: uncultured bacterium
Lineage: Bacteria
Description: partial 16S ribosomal RNA
Rfam family: Bacterial small subunit ribosomal RNA
Source: RNAcentral